Molecule: ribosomal RNA, 403 nt
Filed under: uncultured Bauldia sp.
Lineage: Bacteria; Pseudomonadati; Pseudomonadota; Alphaproteobacteria; Hyphomicrobiales; Kaistiaceae
Description: bacterial SSU rRNA
Rfam family: Bacterial small subunit ribosomal RNA
Source: RNAcentral
UGGGGAAUAUUGGACAAUGGGCGAAAGCCUGAUCCAGCCAUGCCGCGUGAGUGAUGAAGGCCUUAGGGUUGUAAAGCUCUUUCGCCAGGGACGAUAAUGACGGUACCUGGAUAAGAAGCCCCGGCUAACUUCGUGCCAGCAGCCGCGGUAAUACGAAGGGGGCUAGCGUUGUUCGGAAUUACUGGGCGUAAAGCGUAUGUAGGCGGAUCGUUAAGUCGGGGGUGAAAUCCCGAGGCUCAACCUCGGAACUGCCUUCGAUACUGGCGAUCUUCGAGUCCGGGAGAGGUGAGUGGAACUCCGAGUGUAGAGGUGAAAUUCGUAGAUAUUCGGAAGAACACCAGUGGCGAAGGCGGCUCACUGGCCCGGUACUGACGCUGAAAUACGAAAGCGUGGGGAGCAAACA